AACGAACGCUGGCGGCAGGCUUAACACAUGCAAGUCGAACGCCCCGCAAGGGGAGUGGCAGACGGGUGAGUAACGCGUGGGAAUCUACCCAGUUCUGCGGAACAACAGUUGGAAACGACUGCUAAUACCGCAUACGCCCUACGGGGGAAAGAUUUAUCGGGGAUGGAUGAGCCCGCGUUGGAUUAGCUAGUUGGUGGGGUAAAGGCCUACCAAGGCGACGAUCCAUAGCUGGUCUGAGAGGAUGAUCAGCCACAUUGGGACUGAGACACGGCCCAAACUCCUACGGGAGGCAGCAGUGGGGAAUAUUGGACAAUGGGCGCAAGCCUGAUCCAGCCAUGCCGCGUGAGUGACGAAGGCCUUAGGGUUGUAAAGCUCUUUUGGCGGGGAAGAUAAUGACGGUACCCGCAGAAUAAGCUCCGGCUAACUUCGUGCCAGCCGCCGCGGUAA
This 447-nucleotide ribosomal RNA is filed under the name uncultured bacterium. Its description in RNAcentral is "partial 16S ribosomal RNA". It matches the Rfam family "Bacterial small subunit ribosomal RNA", at positions 29 to 523 of the family's 1533-position model. The record is from RNAcentral.